UACGUAGGGCGCGAGCGUUGUCCGGAAUUAUUGGGCGUAAAGAGCUCGUAGGCGGUUUGUCGCGUCGGUUGUGAAAACCCAAGGCUCAACCUUGGGCCUGCAAUCGAUACGGGCAGACUAGAGUACUGCAGGGGAGACUGGAAUUCCUGGUGUAGCGGUGGAAUGCGCAGAUAUCAGGAGGAACACCUAUUGCGAAGGCAGCUCGCUGGGACGUUACUGACGCUGAGACGCGAAAGCGUGGGGAGCAAACAGG
RNAcentral lists this ribosomal RNA (253 nucleotides) under uncultured bacterium. RNAcentral's name for it is "partial 16S ribosomal RNA". It matches the Rfam family "Bacterial small subunit ribosomal RNA", at positions 524 to 776 of the family's 1533-position model. The record is from RNAcentral.